RNAcentral lists this transfer RNA (93 nucleotides) under Dialister micraerophilus. RNAcentral's name for it is "tRNA-Ser(gga)". It matches the Rfam family "tRNA". From Rfam's summary of the family: Transfer RNA (tRNA) molecules are approximately 80 nucleotides in length. Their secondary structure includes four short double-helical elements and three loops (D, anti-codon, and T loops). Further hydrogen bonds mediate the characteristic L-shaped molecular structure. tRNAs have two regions of fundamental functional importance: the anti-codon, which is responsible for specific mRNA codon recognition, and the 3' end, to which the tRNAs corresponding amino acid is attached (by aminoacyl-tRNA synthetases). tRNAs cope with the degeneracy of the genetic code in two manners: having more than one tRNA (with a specific anti-codon) for a particular amino acid; and 'wobble' base-pairing, i.e. permitting non-standard base-pairing at the 3rd anti-codon position. Lineage: Bacteria; Bacillati; Bacillota; Negativicutes; Veillonellales; Veillonellaceae. The record is from RNAcentral. RNAcentral also lists the same sequence under 2 other names.
GGAGAGGUGUCCGAGUGGUUUAAGGUGCAUGAUUGGAAAUCAUGUUUACGGUGAUAAGCCGUAACGGGGGUUCGAAUCCCCCUCUCUCCGCCA